GAUGAAGAACGUAGCGAAAUGCGAUAAGUAAUGUGAAUUGCAGAAUUCAGUGAAUCAUCGAAUCUUUGAACGCACAUUGCGCCCGCCAGUAUUCUGGCGGGCAUGCCUGUUCGAGCGUCAUUUCAACCAUCAAGCCCCAGGCUUGUGUUGGGGACCUGCGGCUGCCGCAGGCCCUGAAAACCAGUGGCGGGCUCGCUGUCACACCGGGCGUAGUAGAUUUUAUCUCGCUCAGGGCGUGCUGCGGGUUCCGGCCGUUAAAAAGCCUUUUUUACCCAAGGUUGACCUCGGAUCAGGUAGGAAGACCCGCUGAACUUAAGCAUAUCAAUAAGCGGGA
RNAcentral lists this unclassified non-coding RNA (334 nucleotides) under soil metagenome. RNAcentral describes it as "partial contains 5.8S ribosomal RNA, internal transcribed spacer 2, and large subunit ribosomal RNA". The stretch from base 1 to 120 matches the Rfam family "5.8S ribosomal RNA", at positions 35 to 154 of the family's 154-position model. The record is from RNAcentral.